CUGACGGAGCAACGCCGCGUGAGUGAUGAAGGUUUUCGGAUCGUAAAACUCUGUUGUUAGGGAAGAACAAGUACCGUUCGAAUAGGGCGGUACCUUGACGGUACCUAACCAGAAAGCCACGGCUAACUACGUGCCAGCAGCCGCGGUAAUACGUAGGUGGCAAGCGUUGUCCGGAAUUAUUGGGCGUAAAGCGCGCGCAGGCGGUUUCUUAAGUCUGAUGUGAAAGCCCCCGGCUCAACCGGGGAGGGUCAUUGGAAACUGGGGAACUUGAGUGCAGAAGAGGAGAGUGGAAUUCCACGUGUAGCGGUGAAAUGCGUAGAGAUGUGGAGGAACACCAGUGGCGAAGGCGACUCUCUGGUCUGUAACUGACGCUGAGGCGCGAAAGCGUGGGGAGCGAACAGGAUUAGAUACCCUGGUAGUCCACGCCGUAAACGAUGAGUGCUAAGUGUUAGAGGGUUUCCGCCCUUUAGUGCUGCAGCAAACGCAUUAAGCACUCCGCCUGGGGAGUACGGUCGCAAGACUGAAACUCAAAGGAAUUGACGGGGGCCCGCACAAGCGGUGGAGCAUGUGGUUUAAUUCGAAGCAACGCGAAGAACCUUACCAGGUCUUGACAUCCUCUGACAACCCUAGAGAUAGGGCUUCCCCUUCGGGGGCAGAGUGACAGGUGGUGCAUGGUUGUCGUCAGCUCGUGUCGUGAGAUGUUGGGUUAAGUCCCGCAACGAGCGCAACCCUUGAUCUUAGUUGCCAGCAUUCAGUUGGGCACUCUAAGGUGACUGCCGGUGACAAACCGGAGGAAGGUGGGGAUGACGUCAAAUCAUCAUGCCCCUUAUGACCUGGGCUACACACGUGCUACAAUGGGCAGAACAAAGGGCAGCGAAGCCGCGAGGCUAAGCCAAUCCCACAAAUCUGUUCUCAGUUCGGGAUCGCAGUCUGCACUCGACUGCGUGAGCUGGGAAUCGCUAAGUAAU
Molecule: ribosomal RNA, 968 nt
Filed under: Bacillus licheniformis
Lineage: Bacteria; Bacillati; Bacillota; Bacilli; Caryophanales; Bacillaceae
Description: bacterial SSU rRNA
Rfam family: Bacterial small subunit ribosomal RNA
Source: RNAcentral